GUGGGGAAUCUUCCGCAAUGGACGAAAGUCUGACGGAGCGACGCCGCGUGAGUGAAGAAGGCCUUCGGGUCGUAAAGCUCUGUCAUCAGGGACGAACGGCCGGUGGAGUGGAAAGCCACCGGAUUGACGGUACCUGAGAAGGAAGCCACGGCUAACUACGUGCCAGCAGCCGCGGUAAUACGUAGGUGGCAAGCGUUGUCCGGAAUUAUUGGGCGUAAAGCGCGCGCAGGUGGGAUCUUAAGUCCAUUUUGAAAGUUCGGAGCUCAACUCCGUGAUGGGAUGGAAACUGGGAUUCUUGAGUACCGGAGAGGAAAGCGGAAUUCCCCGUGUAGCGGUGAAAUGCGUAGAUAUGGGGAGGAACACCAGUGGCGAAGGCGACUUUCUGGACGAUGUCUGACGCUGAGGCGCGAAAGCUAGGGGAGCGAACGGGAUUAGAAACCCUAGUAGUCC
This 450-nucleotide ribosomal RNA is filed under the name uncultured bacterium. Its description in RNAcentral is "partial 16S ribosomal RNA". It matches the Rfam family "Bacterial small subunit ribosomal RNA", at positions 354 to 796 of the family's 1533-position model. The record is from RNAcentral.